RNAcentral lists this ribosomal RNA (431 nucleotides) under uncultured bacterium. RNAcentral's name for it is "partial 16S ribosomal RNA". It matches the Rfam family "Bacterial small subunit ribosomal RNA", at positions 29 to 505 of the family's 1533-position model. The record is from RNAcentral.
AACGAACGCUGGCGGCAUGCCUAACACAUGCAAGUCGAACGAGACCUUCGGGUCUAGUGGCGCACGGGUGCGUAACGCGUGGGAACCUGCCCUUAGGUUCGGAAUAACUCCCCGAAAGGGGUGCUAAUACCGGAUAAUGUCUUCGGACCAAAGAUUUAUCGCCUUUGGAUGGGCCCGCGUUGGAUUAGCUAGUUGGUAGGGUAAAAGCCUACCAAGGCGACGAUCCAUAGCUGGUCUGAGAGGAUGAUCAGCCACACUGGGACUGAGACACGGCCCAGACUCCUACGGGGGGCAGCAGUGGGGAAUAUUGGACAAUGGGCGAAAGCCUGAUCCAGCAAUGCCGCGUGAGUGAUGAAGGCCUUAGGGGUGUAAAGCUCUUUUACCCGGGAUGAUAAUGACAGUACCGGGAGAAUAAGCUCCGGCUAACUCCG